AGGCCCAUGGGGGGAUUGAACCCACGACCUUCGCGUUAUUAGCACGACGCUCUAACCAACUGAGCUAAUGGGCC
RNAcentral lists this transfer RNA (74 nucleotides) under Cordylochernes scorpioides. RNAcentral's name for it is "tRNA-Ile". Lineage: Eukaryota; Metazoa; Arthropoda; Arachnida; Pseudoscorpiones; Chernetidae. The record is from RNAcentral.